Molecule: ribosomal RNA, 354 nt
Filed under: Escherichia coli
Lineage: Bacteria; Pseudomonadati; Pseudomonadota; Gammaproteobacteria; Enterobacterales; Enterobacteriaceae
Description: bacterial LSU rRNA
Rfam family: Bacterial large subunit ribosomal RNA
Source: RNAcentral
UGGUACGCGAGCUGGGUUUAGAACGUCGUGAGACAGUUCGGUCCCUAUCUGCCGUGGGCGCUGGAGAACUGAGGGGGGCUGCUCCUAGUACGAGAGGACCGGAGUGGACGCAUCACUGGUGUUCGGGUUGUCAUGCCAAUGGCACUGCCCGGUAGCUAAAUGCGGAAGAGAUAAGUGCUGAAAGCAUCUAAGCACGAAACUUGCCCCGAGAUGAGUUCUCCCUGACCCUUUAAGGGUCCUGAAGGAACGUUGAAGACGACGACGUUGAUAGGCCGGGUGUGUAAGCGCAGCGAUGCGUUGAGCUAACCGGUACUAAUGAACCGUGAGGCUUAACCUUACAACGCCGAAGCUGUU